GACGGGUAUCCGGCUGGAGAGGGUGAACGGACACACUGGAACUGAGACACGGUCCAGACUCCUACGGGAGGCAGCAGUAGGGAAUAUUGCUCAAUGGGGGAAACCCUGAAGCAGCAACGCCGCGUGGAGGAUGAAGGUUUUAGGAUUGUAAACUCCUUUUGUUAGAGAAGAUUAUGACGGUAUCUAACGAAUAAGCACCGGCUAACUCGUCCAGCAGCGCGGUAAUACGGAGGGUGCAAGCGUACUCGGAAUCCUGGGCGUAAAGAGUCGCAGGCGGGAUAGCAAGUCAGAUGUGAAAUUAUGGCUUACCAUAGAACUGCAUUUGAACUGUUAUUCUA
This 338-nucleotide ribosomal RNA is filed under the name uncultured Helicobacter sp. Its description in RNAcentral is "bacterial SSU rRNA". It matches the Rfam family "Bacterial small subunit ribosomal RNA", at positions 278 to 643 of the family's 1533-position model. Lineage: Bacteria; Pseudomonadati; Campylobacterota; Epsilonproteobacteria; Campylobacterales; Helicobacteraceae. The record is from RNAcentral.